This 257-nucleotide ribosomal RNA is filed under the name uncultured bacterium. RNAcentral's name for it is "partial 16S ribosomal RNA". It matches the Rfam family "Bacterial small subunit ribosomal RNA", at positions 795 to 1052 of the family's 1533-position model. The record is from RNAcentral.
CCACGCCGUAAACGGUGGGUGCUAGGUGUAGGCGGUAUUCCACGCCGUCUGUGCCGCAGCUAACGCAUUAAGCACCCCGCCUGGGGAGUACGGCCGCAAGGCUAAAACUCAAAGGAAUUGACGGGGGCCCGCACAAGCAGCGGAGCAUGUGGCUUAAUUCGACGCAACGCGAAGAACCUUACCAAGGCUUGACAUACACCGAAAACUCGUAGAGAUACGGGGUCCGCAAGGGCGGUGUACAGGUGGUGCAUGGUUGU